GAUGAACGCUGGCGGCGUGCUUAACACAUGCAAGUCGAACGAUGAAGCCCAGCUUGCUGGGUGGAUUAGUGGCGAACGGGUGAGUAACACGUGAGUAACCUGCCCUUGACUCUGGGAUAAGCCUGGGAAACUGGGUCUAAUACUGGAUAUGACUUCUCAUCGCAUGGUGGGGGGUGGAAAGAUUUAUUGGUCUUGGAUGGACUCGCGGCCUAUCAGCUUGUUGGUGAGGUAAUGGCUCACCAAGGCGACGACGGGUAGCCGGCCUGAGAGGGUGGCCGGCCACACUGGGACUGAGACACGGCCCAGACUCCUGCGGGAGGCAGUGGUGGGGAGUAUUGCACAAUGGGCGCAAGCCUGAUGCAGCGACGCCGCGUGGGGGAUGGCGGCCUUCGGGUUAUAAACCUCUUUCAGUAGGGAAGAAGCGAGAGUGACGGUACCUGCAGAAGAAGCGCCGGCUAACUACGUG
This 466-nucleotide ribosomal RNA is filed under the name uncultured bacterium. RNAcentral describes it as "partial 16S ribosomal RNA". It matches the Rfam family "Bacterial small subunit ribosomal RNA", at positions 28 to 507 of the family's 1533-position model. The record is from RNAcentral.